RNAcentral lists this ribosomal RNA (230 nucleotides) under Lysinibacillus sphaericus. RNAcentral's name for it is "partial 16S ribosomal RNA". It matches the Rfam family "Bacterial small subunit ribosomal RNA", at positions 1 to 218 of the family's 1533-position model. Lineage: Bacteria; Bacillati; Bacillota; Bacilli; Caryophanales; Bacillaceae. The record is from RNAcentral.
UUUUAUGGAGAGUUUGAUCCUGGCUCAGGACGAACGCUGGCGGCGUGCCUAAUACAUGCAAGUCGAGCGAACAGAGAAGGAGCUUGCUCCUUUGACGUUAGCGGCGGACGGGUGAGUAACACGUGGGCAACCUACCUUAUAGUUUGGGAUAACUCCGGGAAACCGGGGCUAAUACCGAAUAAUCUGUUUCACCUCAUGGUGAAAUAUUGAAAGACGGUUUCGGCUGUCGC